This 245-nucleotide ribosomal RNA is filed under the name uncultured bacterium. RNAcentral describes it as "partial 16S ribosomal RNA". It matches the Rfam family "Bacterial small subunit ribosomal RNA", at positions 113 to 356 of the family's 1533-position model. The record is from RNAcentral.
CAACGUGGGUAACCUGCCUUAUAGUGGGGGAUAGCCUUUCGAAAGGAAGAUUAAUACCGCAUAAGAUUGUAGUAUCGCAUGAUAUAGCAAUUAAAGGAGCAAUCCGCUAUAAGAUGGACCCGCGUCGCAUUAGCUAGUUGGUGAGGUAAUGGCUCACCAAGGCGACGAUGCGUAGCCGACCUGAGAGGGUGAUCGGCCACAUUGGGACUGAGACACGGCCCAGACUCCUACGGGAGGCAGCAAUG